CCUACGGGCGGCAGCAGUGGGGAAUAUUGGACAAUGGGGGCAACCCUGAUCCAGCCAUGCCGCGUGUGUGAAGAAGGCCCUCGGGUUGUAAAGCACUUUCAGUGAGGAAGAACGCCUGGUGGUUAAUACCCAUCAGGAAAGACAUCACUCACAGAAGAAGCACCGGCUAACUCCGUGCCAGCAGCCGCGGUAAUACGGAGGGUGCGCGCGUUAAUCGGAAUUACUGGGCGUAAAGCGCGCGUAGGUGGCUUGAUAAGACGGUUGUGAAAGCCCCGGGCUCAACCUGGGAACGGCAUCCGGAACUGUCAAGCUAGAGUGCAGGAGAGGAAGGUAGAAUUCCCGGUGUAGCGGUGAAAUGCGUAGAGAUCGGGAGGAAUACCAGUGGCGAAGGCGGCCUUCUGGACUGACACUGACACUGAGGUGCGAAAGCGUGGGUAGCAAACAGGGUUAGAUACCCGAGUAGUC
RNAcentral lists this ribosomal RNA (465 nucleotides) under Vreelandella stevensii. RNAcentral's name for it is "partial 16S ribosomal RNA". It matches the Rfam family "Bacterial small subunit ribosomal RNA", at positions 338 to 795 of the family's 1533-position model. Lineage: Bacteria; Pseudomonadati; Pseudomonadota; Gammaproteobacteria; Oceanospirillales; Halomonadaceae. The record is from RNAcentral.